CUUGCUAAUUGCCUGCAGUGGAUGUGAAUGAGAGAGGCCAGGAUAUAUGUUUGGGGGUCUCACCAGUGCUUCCCAGAGACCCCCUCUUCCCAUCCUGUAGCAAGUGUAGCCCCAGUUUCCCUAACUCUGACCCAUGACUCUCCCUUCACCUGCAGGAUCUGCAUAGGGUCUUGCCAGACCUCCUGGAUGCCAUUCUGGGGAACCUGCUGGCAGAGUCCCCAGACAUCAACAGGCUCCACUACAUCUUGGAGCACAUUAACUACUGGAUUGUGUCCAGGGUGUCAUGAGAGAGAGCCUGGGCCAUUAGGAGCAGCACGACCCUGCUCAGAUUCACCAUCACCCUCCCUGAGUUCAACAACUCAGCCGAAUUCCCUAGGAUGGGUCACCACAUGGUACAGCUGACUCUGUUUGUCGGUGACCCAUCCAAGGACAUCAGCUGGCAGGCCAUGGAGCGGGUUUACUGGCUCUACCAGCUGCUGCUGCACCAGAGGGGCCUGACCAUCCAUGAGGCUGAAGACUUGUGGGUCUGGGACUGGCACCAGGACAGCAGACUCCUGGGCUACAAGAACACAGCCAGGGUGGGGAAGCUGUCUUCCAGGCCCUGGGAUCUGGCACAGCCUCCCAGACGGGCGCAUCCUGUAGCUGAGCCAUGUCAGGAAGCA
This is a long non-coding RNA of Dermochelys coriacea (leatherback sea turtle), 662 nucleotides long. RefSeq lists it as uncharacterized. NCBI's taxonomy places the organism in Eukaryota, Metazoa, Chordata, Testudines, Dermochelyidae. The record is from RefSeq and is a predicted model, not a curated record. The transcript has 5 exons.